Molecule: ribosomal RNA, 440 nt
Filed under: uncultured bacterium
Lineage: Bacteria
Description: bacterial SSU rRNA
Rfam family: Bacterial small subunit ribosomal RNA
Source: RNAcentral
AACGCGAAGAACCUUACCUGGGCUCGAAAUGCAGAGCGCGACACUAGAGAUAGUGUUUUCCGUAAGGAGUUUUGUAUAGGUGCUGCAUGGCUGUCGUCAGCUCGUGCCGUGAGGUGUUUGGUUAAGUCCAGCAACGAGCGCAACCCUUAUCGUUAGUUGCCAGCGCGUAAAGGCGGGAACUCUAGCGAGACUGCCUAGGUUAACUAGGAGGAAGGUGAGGAUGACGUCAAGUCCGCAUGGCCUUUAUGUCCAGGGCUACACACGUGCUACAAUGGUCGGUACAGAAGGCAGCGAAACCGUGAGGUGAAGCAAAUCCCGAAAAGCCGAUCUCAGUUCAGAUUGUAGACUGCAACUCGUCUACAUGAAGUUGGAAUUGCUAGUAAUGGCGUGUCAGCAACAACGCCGUGAAUACGUUCCCGGGCCUUGUACACACCGCAUAC